Molecule: long non-coding RNA, 5874 nt
Filed under: Cinara cedri
Lineage: Eukaryota; Metazoa; Arthropoda; Insecta; Hemiptera; Aphididae
Source: RNAcentral
UGGUGCCUACAGCUUACAACACAAAGGGACCCUUUUACGAUCAAUACCUAUUUUAUUUGGUUACAUCACUCAUACGGUCUCACACACUCACACCACUCAUACCAUUGUUCGCUUUCCCAGUUCAUGUCAUUUAGAAUACGAAACGGUGAUGGUAAGACGUAGAUAUAGUCUCUCUGAGAGACUAUAUAAAUACUCUACUCUCUAGUGCUUUAAUACUAGAUUACAACUUAUCUACCCGCUACUACAAAUAUCUGUGCUACUUAGUAAGUAUGAGUGAGCUAUUAUUUAAUUUAAUUUAAUUAACUAUAGUAAUUAAUAUAUUACCAUGUUUUAUAAUAUCUAUUAUUACCAUGAUUUUAGGUAAAACACGCGAUUGAAAUUCAAACAGUAAAUAUUCAUCACAGACCAUAGUAUAAUCUUAUGACUCAUGGGAAAUUCAUGGAUUUCAGAUUUGUGGUUAACGUGCAUGAUUCUGCUCUGAUAUGCGGUCUUCAUAUAGGUAUAUAAAAUAUAUAAUAAUAAUAUAAUAUUAAAAAACCAACCUGGCAGUGUUAUAUUAUAUAAUAGAGCAUCGUGUAUAGGCACACUAAUGAAUAAUAAUUUACAAAAAUUAAAAUUUCAAACAAAACAAUUAAAUAGUAAAAUAAACAAAUAUAAAUUGGUUGCUAUUGUGUUUAGGACAAUUUACCAUAAUAUUAUUAUAUUGGAGUGCACUUGAAAGUAAAUAAUAUAUUCAAUUAGUUAAACUCAUAAAACAUUCCAUCCUUCUCUUACAUGUUAGUGAAAUAUAUUUAAACAACAGAAAUGUUAAUAAAAUUUAAUAUUUUGGUAUAUGUAUUUUAUUAUUAAUUAUACGGGAGUACAGAACGACAGAAAAAAAUAAGGUGAUAAAAUAUUUUAGUAUUAAUUUUUAUUAGAUAGAGUGAUUUUAGGUUGGAGAGAGUAUUUGUUAGACGCAUUAAACAGUCAAGAGGUUAAUUGCUGCAGUAAUUUGUAGUACGUUUGGGUACUACAUAAGGGGUGAGGGAGUGAGUGGAGUGCUGAAGAACUCGGAAAUUAAUACAAGAGAGGAAGGAAGGUACAUCAAACGAGUAGUCGUGAAUGGGGUGGGGAAUAUUCAAAGUAAACCAGCGAAGGACAGAUUUUAUUAUUUUAAAAUUGGUUAUACUCAAUAUGCAAUAGAGCAUUAUCAUGAAUCAUGAUCAAAUUUGACCCUAAUUACUUUCUUAAAUGAGAGAAGAAGGUGACAGUCAUAGUUUAUAAUUAACUUGUACAUCUAGAAUUGAUAUGGUCAAAACGAUUAGCACUGCAUCACUGUAGUACCAGUGUACCAGUACUACCUUGAACAACACAUGUGUGAUCGAGAGAACUAAUAGUAUCAAUUUUCUAUUAGACAUUAGGUAUUGCAUAGAGUAUUUAAAUCAUAUGAUAUUGGUACAAAUUUCCAAUUGUAUACACGUAACUAUAAAUCUAUAAUACAGUUGUAAUCAAGUUGUUAGUUCUCAUUAUAGAAGGCAAAUUAGAAAGGGUUUCCAAAAUUCACUUAAACGAUAGUGGAAGGCUUCAUUAUCUCUUCUGAUGGUUUGAUUAAGCCUCAUUUUUUAAAUUUAUAUAUAUAUAUAUAGUUAUGGCUGGGGUGACGAAGUGAAUUAGGAUUAAUUGAUAAAUAUUAAUAAAAUAUUAUUUGCAUGAGUUUGUUUGUAUGCAAUAUCAGGAUCAUAAAUUACAUACAAAUUGUGGGGGGGGGGGGGGCUAUAAAAUAGCUAAACUGUUCAAAAUAUUAAACCGGCUGUAUUUUUGCUUAAAUACCUAGUUAUUAACUAGUAAGUUUCUUAAUAUUGUUUUGUAAGAUUACUGUUGUAUUUUAAUUUUAUAAAAUUAAAACUUCUAGUAUGGAAUAUACUCUAUCAACUUCCAAUUCCACCUGUUGCAUCAAAUACAUUUCUAGUUGUACUGUAAUUUCCUAUUUCAGUCUUUGAUAUACAACAUGACGAAACUAAGCAAUAUUGCGAGGUAUAGAUAAAAUUUAUCAUCAUAAAUGAUUUUUUUUUUUAUAUAGAAUUACAAACAUUAACAAAAAAAACUACAAUAAUAUUGUUAUUGGCUGAUAUUGAAAAAUAAAAGUAUAGAAAUUAGAAUAUUAAACUGACAGCCAUCUAGACAUUAUCACACAUUAUUUGUUUAGGUUUUUUAAUGUCAGCUGUAAUAUUUUUUGUUUUAAUGAUUGGUAACAAUAUUUUUUAGCUAAUUUAUUUUUAUUAUUUAAUGUAAACCCCACACAAAUGAGUAACUGAAGAAAGAUGAAAAGCAGACCAAACUUAUCAACUAACUUGUAAAUCUAUGGAAUAAACUUUUUUGCAUAUUGUUUACUCCAUCAUGAGGAGUGGCUCAUGGUUAGGUCUCUUUACUUUAUGUUGAUAUUAGAUUUUUCACUACUCAAUGUCUUUCUCUUUAUAUGUAGAAUGUAUAUGGAUACAAAAUAUUAAAUAUUUAUGUAGGUUCUAGUUAUUUUAUAACUACUGAUGAUAACAAGUAAAUUUGUCAGUAUCCACCCAGUGAACAUUUCUUUUCAGAAAAAGUCCUAUAAAUGAUAAUCUGAGUAAACUUUCUGGUAGAAAAAGAGUUUAAAUAAAAAAAAAUUAAUGUAAAACCAAUAUAUAUCUAGAAAAUAGACUAAUAUCUAAUUUAAUAAUACUAAUGUCUCAAAACUUAAAAAUAAUUAAUUAAUAACAUUUAAUCUGGUUAUAGAUGUGAUGGAAAUUAAAACUGCAACUUCUAUGUAUACCUACAAUUAUGUGUCUUUCAACAGUGAAUAAGCACUGUAGCAAGUUGGGUUUGUUGUUCUUCUGUCAACCACCAAUCUAGAAUGUGAUCUCAAAUUAUAUUGAAAAAUAUUGGUUCAUUAUGGUAAAUAUGGUCUAAGAAAAGUUAAAUGUAUUGUGCUAAAAGCGCUAAGAACUUCUAAUAAUUAUGGUGGAAAUUUAUUACAAGUUUAUACAUAUAAUUAUCAAUUCUUCUAUAUAUAUUGUAGUGUAAAUGAACCAGAAAUACUUUACACUUGUGUUUUAUCAACUGUUUAUAAUAUUGCUACUUAAAAACUACCAAACAAACUGCACAAGAUGGAUCUGUUCACUCACAAAAAGCAAUACUUUUUCAAAUAUAUAUGAACAUAUUAUUAAAAGUUCAUGAAAGUGGUUGUGCAUGGGGUGUAAAGGGACUUUAUAUCCCAUGGACAACCACUUAUAUAUCUUUCAAUGAAAAUGAUCCAGAAAUAUUUAAAACUUGUGUUUUAUCAAUUGUUUAUAGUAUUUCGACUUGUAAACUAUUAAACAAACUGGACAAGGUGAAUCUGUUCACAACCUGAAAUACUUACACAAAUAUAAGUGAACAUAUUAUUGAGAGUUCAUGAAAGUGGGUGUGCAUGGGAUGAAAAGGGACUUCUCAUCCCAUGGACAUCCACUUAUAUAUCUCUCAGUGAAAAUGAUCCAGAAAUACUUAAAACUACCAAACAAACUGAAAAAGAUGGAUCUGUUCACACCCUGAAAUACUUACUCAAAUAUAAGUGAACAUAUUAUUAAAAGUUCAUGAAAGUGGUUGUGCAUGGGGUGAAAAGGGACUUCUCAUCCCAUGGACAACCACUUAUAUAUCUUUCAAUGAAAAUGAUCCAGAAAUAUUUAAAACUUGUGUUUUAUCAAUUGUUUAUAGUAUUUCGACUUGUAAACUAUUAAACAAACUGGACAAGGUGAAUCUGUUCACAACCUGAAAUACUUACACAAAUAUAAGUGAACAUAUUAUUGAGAGUUCAUGAAAGUGGGUGUGCAUGGGAUGAAAAGGGACUUCUCAUCCCAUGGACAUCCACUUAUAUAUCUCUCAGUGAAAAUGAUCCAGAAAUACUGAAAACUACCAAACACACUGGACGAGAUGGAUCUGUUCACAACCUGAAAUACUUACUCAAAUAUAAGUGAACAUAUUAUUGAAAGUUCAUGAAAGUGGGUGUGCAUGGGAUGAAAAGGGACUUCUCGUUCCAUGGACAUCCACUUAUAUAUCUUUCAAUGAAAAUGAUCCAGAAAUAUUUAAAACUUGUGUUUUAUCAAUUGUUUAUAGUAUUUCUACUUGUAAACUAUUAAACAAACUGCACAAGAUGGAUCCGUUCACCCACAACAUAAAACACUUACUCAAAUAUAGGUGAACAUAUUAUUGAAAGUUCAUGAAAGUGGGUGUGCAUGGGAUGAAAAGGGACUUCUCGUCCCAUGGACAUCCACUUAUAUAUCUUUCAGUGAAAAUGAACCAGAAAUACUUGACACUUGUGUUUUAUCAAUUAUAAUAUUUCUACUUGAAAAAGGCCAAACAAACUGCACAAGAUGGAUCUGUUCACUCACAACAUGAAACACUCAAAUAUAUAUGAACAUAUUAUUAAAAGUUCAUGAAAGUGGUUGUGCAUGGGGUGUAAAGGGACUUUAUAUUCCAUGGACAACCACUUAUAUAUCUUUCAAUGAAAAUGAUCCAGAAAUAUUUAAAACUUGUGUUUUAUCAAUUGUUUAAAGUAUUUCUACUUGUAAACUAUUAAACAAACUGCACAAGAUGGAUCUAUUCACUCACAACAUGAAAUACUUACUCAAAUAUAUGUGAACUUAUUAUUGAAAAUUCAUGAAAGUGGGUGUGCAUGGGAUGAAAAGGGACUUCUCGUCCCAUGGACAUCCACUUAUAUAUCUUUCAAUGAAAAUGAUCCAGAAAUAUUUAAAACUUGUGUUUUAUCAAUUGUUUAAAGUAUUUCUACUUGUAAACUAUUAAACAAACUGCACAAGAUGGAUCUAUUCACUCACAACAUGAAAUACUUACUCAAAUAUAUGUGAGCUUAUUAUUGAAAAUUCAUGAAAGUGGGUGUGCAUGGGAUGAAAAGGGACUUCUCAUCCCAUGGACAUCCACUUAUAUAUCGCUCAGUGAAAAUGAUCCAGAAAUACAGAAAACUACCAAACACACUGGACGAGAUGGAUCUGUUCACAACCUGAAAUACUUACUCAAAUAUAAGUGAACAUAUUAUUAAAAGUUCAUGAAAGUGGUUGUGCAUGGGGUGUAAAGGGACUUUAUAUCCCAUGGACAACCACUUAUAUAUCUUUCAAUGAAAAUGAUCCAGAAAUAUUUAAAACUUGUGUUUUAUCAAUUGUUUAUAGUAUUUCGACUUGUAAACUAUUAAACAAACUGGACAAGGUGAAUCUGUUCACAACCUGAAAUACUUACUCAAAUAUAAGUGAACAUAUUAUUGAGAGUUCAUGAAAGUGGGUGUGCAUGGGAUGAAAAGGGACUUCUCGUUCCAUGGACAUCCACUUAUAUAUCUUUCAGUGAAAAUGAACUAGAAAUUCUGGGAACUUGUGUUUUAUCAAUUAUAAUAUUUCUACUUGAAAAAGGCCAAACAAACUGCACAAGAUGGAUCAGUUCACUCACAACAUGAAAUACUUACUCAAAUAUAUGUGAACUUAUUAUUAAAAGUUCAUGAAAGUGGUUGUGCAUGGGGUGAAAAGGGACUUCUCAUCCCAUGGACAACCACUUAUAUAUCUUUCAAUGAAAAUGAUCCAGAAAUAUUUAAAACUUGUGUUUUAUCAAUUGUUUAUAGUAUUUCGACUUGUAAACUAUUAAACAAACUGGAAAAGAUGGAUCUAUUCACUCACAACAUGAAAUACUUACUCAAAUAUAUGUGAACUUAUUAUUGAAAAUUCAUGAAAGUGGGUGUGCAUGGGGUGAAAAGGGACUUUUCAUCCCAUGGACACCCACUUAUAUAUCUUUCAGUGAAAAUGAUCCAAAAAUACUAAUAACUUGUGUUUUAUUAAUUGUUUAUAAAUUUCUACAUGAAAAAAGCCAAACAAACUGCACAAGAUG